Molecule: ribosomal RNA, 490 nt
Filed under: uncultured bacterium
Lineage: Bacteria
Description: partial 16S ribosomal RNA
Rfam family: Bacterial small subunit ribosomal RNA
Source: RNAcentral
AGUGAACGCUGGCGGUAGGCCUAACACAUGCAAGUCGAACGGCAGCACAGGAGAGCUUGCUCUCUGGGUGUCGCGUGGCGGACGGGUGUGGAAUACAUCUGAAUCUGCCCAGUCGUGGGGGGUAACUCAGGGAAACUUACGCUAAUACCGCAUACGACCUUCGGGGGAAAGAGGGGGAUCGCAAGACCUCUCGCGAGUUGAUGAGCCGAUGUCGGAUUAGCUAGUUGGCGGGGUAAUGGCCCACCAAGGCGACGAUCCGUAGCUGGUCUGAGAGGAUGAUCAGCCACACUGGAACUGAGACACGGUCCAGACUCCUACGGGAGGCAGCAGUGGGGAAUAUUGGACAAUGGGCGCAAGCCUGAUCCAGCCAUACCGCGUGGGUGAAGAAGGCCUUCGGGUUGUAAAGCCCUUUUGUUGGGAAAGAAAUGUUGCAGGCUAAUACCCUGGGAGGAUGACGGUACCCAAAGAAUAAGCACCGGCUAACUUCGUG